CAAGGCAGAGAACAAGGGUGAAAACCCUUGUUUAUCAAAUUCAAUCAAUUGGGUAGGAGAUUAGAAGAAAAUCAACUGCAUGAACUCAAAUCUACACUCAUCUAAACUCGAUCUUUUAAAGAGGCGCGAAGGAAGAAGGUUCAAGUACUAGGAAAUCGGAAGGCCCGCAAGAUCGAGGUAAAGCCUCAAUUUAAUCGGUUCGGCGACUUGGA
This 212-nucleotide long non-coding RNA is filed under the name Helianthus annuus (common sunflower). RNAcentral's name for it is "sRNA HanXRQr2_Chr17g0830541". Lineage: Eukaryota; Viridiplantae; Streptophyta; Magnoliopsida; Asterales; Asteraceae. The record is from RNAcentral.